UCCCGUUCUGGAAUUACCUACAAAGCCAGUGAAUAACUAUAUCAAAGUCUCUCAUGAUAUUUUGUAGUUAUAACACAUCACCUAGGUUGUGCAUCUACUUUAGUCAUGAUUAUGAAUGGUUUUGGAUAUUUUUUAAAAAAUGAAACUAUCCUUAAAGGACAAAGAUAUAAUGACCAUGAAGAACACUGGAAAUACAGUGCCAUAAGUCCAAAGGAAACUACAAAAGAGAUUUCCAAGAUUAUUUCUAAGCAACAAGGGCCCUGCCUCUCAAGGUGACUAUUUUGACAAAGAUUGGGGAAGGGAAGUAUGCUAACAUUUACAUAGCUUUUCUGAGAGGCACUUUAUCAUAGUGUUUGUGUAUAUGAACCUGGGAGCCAGAAUGGCUUGGAUGGAAUGGUGGAUCUCCAACUUAACAGUUGAGUGUACGCUAUGCUUAUUCUUAGAGGGAUUAAUUACCUGGCAUGAAGUUCAAACAAACGGUAAGCUGCUG
Molecule: long non-coding RNA, 490 nt
Filed under: Homo sapiens (human)
Lineage: Eukaryota; Metazoa; Chordata; Mammalia; Primates; Hominidae
Description: HSALNT0343035
Source: RNAcentral